Molecule: ribosomal RNA, 253 nt
Filed under: uncultured bacterium
Lineage: Bacteria
Description: partial 16S ribosomal RNA
Rfam family: Bacterial small subunit ribosomal RNA
Source: RNAcentral
UACGUAGGGUGCAAGCGUUAAUCGGAAUUACUGGGCGUAAAGCGUGCGCAGGCGGUUGUGUAAGACAGAUGUGAAAUCCCCGGGCUCAACCUGGGAACUGCAUCCGAAACUGGCUUGCUAGAGUAUGGGAGAGGGAAGUGGAAUUUCCGGUGUAGCGGUGAAAUGCGUAGAUAUCGGAAGGAACAUCAGUGGCGAAGGCGACUUCCUGGACCAAUACUGACGCUCAGGUGCGAAAGCGUGGGGAGCAAACAGG